RNAcentral lists this ribosomal RNA (274 nucleotides) under uncultured bacterium. RNAcentral's name for it is "partial 16S ribosomal RNA". It matches the Rfam family "Bacterial small subunit ribosomal RNA", at positions 523 to 796 of the family's 1533-position model. The record is from RNAcentral.
AUACGGAGGGUGCAAGCGUUAAUCGGAAUUACUGGGCGUAAAGCGUACGUAGGCGGCAAGUUAAGUUAGAUGUGAAAGCCACGGGCUCAACCUGGGAACUGCAUUUAAAACUGGCUUGCUAGAGUUGAGUAGAGGGGAGUGGAAUUUCAGGUGUAGCGGUGAAAUGCGUAGAGAUCUGAAGGAACACCAGUGGCGAAGGCGACUCCCUGGACUCGAACUGACGCUGAGGUACGAAAGCGUGGGUAGCAAACGGGAUUAGAAACCCUAGUAGUCC